Molecule: long non-coding RNA, 123 nt
Organism: Haliotis rubra (blacklip abalone)
Lineage: Eukaryota; Metazoa; Mollusca; Gastropoda; Lepetellida; Haliotidae
Exons: 3
Source: RefSeq, a predicted model, not a curated record
AAUGACCCUAAGGCUGAUGAGCAAGAGGAUGUCAACGGAACCACCCCAGAUGACCAACAUCAGAUGACCAACAUUCAUCAACAUUGUUCUGAUGAACAGGGUUACAAGUCAUGGACAACGGCU